Small nucleolar RNA from Scophthalmus maximus (turbot), 87 nucleotides. Ensembl annotates it as small nucleolar RNA, C/D box 92. The record is from Ensembl. NCBI's taxonomy places the organism in Eukaryota, Metazoa, Chordata, Actinopteri, Pleuronectiformes, Scophthalmidae.
GAGGAGUGAUGAUGCUGAGAACAGGUUUCGCUUAAAUGAGCUGCUGAGGUCAUGUGAUGUCACGUCUUCUCUUGGCUGUCUGACCAA